This is a non-coding RNA of Parasteatoda tepidariorum (common house spider), 5804 nucleotides long. The record is from RefSeq and is a predicted model, not a curated record. Lineage: Eukaryota; Metazoa; Arthropoda; Arachnida; Araneae; Theridiidae.
UGCUCAUCCUCCAAACAAGAAACAUUUCUGCGUUCUCUACUCUCCGCCGCUUUCUUAUGUUUACAUUACGGAGUAGGUUUCGGUUACAGUUGAAAAAAGCACGUGUCUUCUACAACUCUCUCUAAAGACGCAAGCGAUUUAUUUUAUUCCGACGUCUACGAAGUUUGUUGUGUUUUAAAGUUUUUCAAAUAUCGUCUGUCUUUCUAAGCAGAUAAAUGUCUGUUUUCGUUACUCUGCGGUAAUGUUUAAAUGGAAGAUGUGCAAAAUAGAGGGGGCUGAUGCCUCCUUAUGUUUCUAAACAUGGAAUUAAAAACUUUUAUCAUCAUAUCAUUAUUCAUGGUCCAGUCAUUGACCAUGUCUACUGCUAAAAGACAUAAAAAACGACAAUUAUCAUGCGAACAAUCACAACAAGAUACCUCAUUUCUAUGGACAUUGUCCGAGAGAGUACCGCCGGUGUAUUUCUUCGGUACGAUCCAUGUACCGUACACUAUGGUAUGGGACCACAUUCCUUUUCCAGCCAAGAAGUCUUUCGAAAGAGCUGACAGUGUCUUUUUUGAGCUUGACUUAUCCGAUCCUGAAACAGUGGCACAGCUUGCUAGCUGUCAGAUGUUACCGACGGGGAAGUCUCUAUCAGAUAUUCUUCCCGAAGAGCUUUAUCGUCGAUUAAAACGGCACCUGGACUAUGUGAAGCUUAUGAUUCCAAACUGGAUGGAAGAUGAACAUAGAGGACUUUUUGCUGAAUAUCUCUUUAAGGCAAUGGCUGGUAACUGGGAGAAGAAAAGACCCGUGUGGGUGAUGCUCAUGUUGAAUUCCUUGACGGAAAGUGAUGUUCGAACUAGAGGCAUUCCUGUCCUAGAUCUAUAUUUGGCUCGGGAAGCGACUAGGUUAGGUAAAAAAUCUGGAGCUGUAGAGCGGGCUGAAGAACAGUGCUUACCUCUGAAUGGCUUGGAUGUUUCACAGGUCAUAUUUGCCUUAAAUCAAACUCUGAUGAGGCUAGAGAAACUUAGGAAUGGACAUACAUCAUCCAUGUAUGACACGGAUGAACUGGUCCGAAACUACAAUUGCAGGAAUCUCAGUUCUGAUGCGUUCAAAAACACAGAUUUGCUCUCUGACAACGACAGCUCGGCCGAUGAACUGUUACUAUCCAGGGACAUCAACCGAUAUUUUCGGAGGGAACUGAUUGAAAAAAGAAACGCCAGAAUGGCCGAUAGAGUCCUCCAGUUACUGAGGCAACAUCCAGAUGAAAGUUUUUUCUUUGCAUUUGGAACAGGUCAUUUUCUUGGAAAUGGUAGUGUCCUGGAUUAUAUUGAAGAAGAAGGCUACCAAGUUGAACAAGUUGCUCCAUAUGCCAAAAUCAAAAAUUUUAGGAGACCUCAUCAUCAUAAUCGCCAACGAGGCUCGAGCCAUCAGCAUUCUGCGUCGAACGCCAACCCUUGGGACGAGAGCUCACGUAGGCGGUAUAAGAAGAGGGGUCACCAUCACCAUGGUGUACAGUUACUCAGAUCCGUAACAACUACACCAACACCUAAAGUUAAAUCGAAUCAGCAAAGACAAUUUAAUGAUUUGUGGGUGAAACUGGAUCAUCCAGAUAGGUCCAGUGAUCAGAGUGAUCAGGAAGCAUCUGAAAGCAUUCGAAAAUACAAGAAAAAAACACAAAUUUGGCAUCCAACCACUAACAGCAUAAGUUCAGCCCAGAGCCUAAUUUUAGAAAGAAUUACAUGGAUUGCAUGCCUGACAUUUAUGCAAUAUUAUAGGCAGUUACUAACUAUUUGAAACGCAAUCAAGCGAAAAGUAUUUAAAGCCCAAUUGUAUUAUCAAGCCUGAUUGCUGUUGUUUUAGUCCCUUUAAGAUCGUUUGCUUUUUUUUCAAAAAGGAUUAAAAUAUCGUCUGAAGAAUCAGUGAAGUUGAAAAUAAGUUUCUUGACAAGAUUUUCUUUUCAGAAAAUGGCAAUUACGUGACAUAGCGUGUUGCUUCGAAUGUUUGACGCGGAAGUUAUUGAAUGAAAGCACUUGGGAGAUGACUAAGAAUUUGAACUUUUUAAAAGUGAAGUUAAUCUAAUAAAACUUCAAUUAUUAUAAAUAAUAAGUUAUUUCUAGAUAAAUCAGUGUUCAUGCUGAUUGUCAAAUGAAACUUUUGCAUGACAAAUAGUUGUUUUUUAUACUUUUAAAUCAAUCCAUCUGUAUAUAUGCGACAACUCUAUUAGAACAAUUGUACCACAUUACUGAGUUUUUCUUUCACAGGAUAGGAAUUGUAAUGUAUGUAAGUGUUUCGUAUUAUCAGCAGUAUUAUAUUGAUUAAAUCUUAAAACGUAUUUAAAAUUAAUUUUCUCUUGAAAUCAGAGUUUAUCAAGUUCUAUUGAAUCCUGCAAUUUUUUUUUUUUUUAGUGGAGGAAAGCGUUUGUAGUUAUAUUCCGACUGGAUGUCAAAACACAAUAUUUAUCGUUGUUUCAAUACAUUAAAAAAUGCUUACGUCACUAGUCUGUAAAAAAUUUUUUUUUAAUAUUUAAUCCUUUAUAAUCAGAAUUUUUUUAGAUAGUUUUUUGAGGACAGGAAAGUCAAAAAUAGCAAGAAUGAUUUUUUAAGGAGGAUGGAGGGGUUGAAAGAAGGAAUUUUUUUAAAAAAAAGUGUCUUGUAAAUAAAAAAUAUGUUUUCGAAAAACUUUUUUAUCUUUACAAUUUAAAUGUAAAAACAUUUUAUUAAGUCUUUCAUAAGUGAGAAACAAAUUGUCAAAACACAGAUAUAAAACUCUUGAAUUUUUGUUUAUCAGCAACUGUGUUUAGACGCCAAGAUAAAAAUAACAAAAAAAUUACGAAAAAAUAUAAUACUACUAUAAUUUUUGUAACAUAUUUAACAAAAUUCAUCAAAGUAAUGUAGCAUUAAAAGUGGGCCUAAAAUUGAUUCAAUUAAAACGCAAAUAGCUUUAAGAGCUAUAUUUUUUUUUCUCCAAUUCCCACCUUUUUAGAAUAACCCACCUGGGCAUCUAAGGGCAGAUUUGUUGGUCACUCUUUCAGGGGCACCAUAUUAGGUGGGCCAACGUUGCUCCCACAGUAAGGACAGAUAGUACAGAGAAGGAAAGAACAUCCAUGCCUUGCCCGGGAUUCGAACCCAGAACCUUUCUGAUGCAAUGGCAGUUCCCUAACCCCUACACAGACCCGUCGGCUUUAAGAGGUAUAUGAAAAUCCAUUUUUACACGCACACAAAAAAAAAAUUUUAUUAAAAUUACCAUACUGUACAGAAUUGACCAUUCUAGUAAUAAAAAGAAAAAGCCUAGCAACUCCAACAAUUUCGCGUGCAGGUCGUCGGGCUACCGAAGCGGGGGUGCUACCCCCUUUGCAGAGGAUCAAAAUUGUGAUGGCAUGUCUUCGGAUCAUCCUCAGGGAUGUUUCCCAGACCGUCGCCAAUAGCCCAUUGUGCAGCUCUAGUGUGACGUAAAUAAACUACAACAACAACUCCAGUAAUAACAACCAAAAUCUACGGUAAUUUUUUCAUUCAUAUGAUUUUCAAAUAUAUAGUUCCUAUGUCUAGACAUUUAAUACAAAAAAUACUAAACUGAAAAGUAGAUUUUAACGAAUAAAUGAUUUUUAUGCCAUGCUUUAAGGUAGCGGUUCCCAAAUUGGUGCUCUGCGGAAGCCUUGGGCUCCGUGGAAAUGUGAACGUGGCUCUUCAAGUUAAUACUUUUUAUAUACAGAAAUGUUUUUUAAAUCUCCGAUUAUAUUCAGAAUCAACCUUUCGGUUGUUUUUAUAAAAUUAUUUCAAGUAAAAUUCCAACGAAAUGGAAAUUACAUUUUUUAAAAGGAAAUAUAAUAAUUAUAAUAACAAUAUAUUGAAUAAAUUAGGGAAAAAAAAACAAGCUUUUAUAAAGUAUUGCGUAAGCAUUUCCGAUCGCGCUUUUCGAUACAAAAUAAUUCCUUAAUAAAGAAAUAUAUUUCCCUAAUACCCAUUUUCAAUAGUAGUUUUCAUCUCGGAGUAUUAUUCUACUUAUUUUCUUUCAUGUAUAUGCACCAAAAACAAAUUCAUAAGUAGACAUAGAACAAAAACUGUAGAUAUAGAACAAAAACUGUACAUUUAACUGUUGGAGAUGAAACCUAAUUUAAGAAUAUUAAUGUAAAACGAUGAAAAAUCUUCAUUUCUCUAAUUAAAUAUUGUAAAAAUGGCUUUUUAUAGGUUAUAAGGUUUACAAUUAUCUUAAUAAACUUUAUUUAUAAAGUCGGGAUUGCGCCUAAGGAAGCUUGAUAAUUUAGGGUUCAAUAGCCGAAAAAAAUUGGGAACCGUUGGUUAAGAACAUAUAUAGUUUGUCUAAAAUAAGAACUCCUCCUGACUUUCGUCUGGAACUGUGGCGGUGACUAUGGUAACAAGGUAUGACUAUUUCAAGUAGGGGUGCGGGGUCCCUGUUUUGGAGUGGUUUGGGGGCGGCGAGAAAGAGGGAAUCUCUUCGGUCUAUUGUGUUAGUCCUAGAGUGAAGCUACCCUCCUUAAAAUGCGCCAUUCUUGCUUCCACAGAACUAGACGGCCUCAGACUUUGUGGCGGGAGGAGUUCUCAGCUUAGACAAACUAUACUUUUUUUCUUAGAGUGGGAUAAAAUGUCCGACUCUUUCAGUAGAUUGCUGAGGGUGUCGAUUCAUGGAAUUAUGUUACAUAUUAUGAAGUGAUUGUAUUUGAUGUGAACAUAUUUUUUUUUACAACCAUGACCUUAUGUGUUCGAAAAGUUCAUAAGACACCAAAAUUUUUGUGUAAAAAACAACCAGAAUAAGUUUAUCUGAAAAGCAUAAAACAUCCUUAAAUGUAUUUGUUGUAGUUAGCAUUAUUUUACUAUCUAAUUAUAAUAAGAAAUAAUAAUUAUCUCAGAAACUUUUCUCAUAUAGAAAUGCACAGGGUAUUUACCAUUACAUUCUGCGCAUAAAAAGUUAAGUUUAGCGAAAAUGUAAUAACCCUCAAAUAACAAAAAAUUUAGAAAUAUUAUGCUUUAUUUGUUCUUUUUUUUCUUUCUUAAAUUUCUUUUCUUGUUAGUAGUUAGUUCAGUUGCAAUUUACUUUGUACAAACUUCAUGAAGAUUAAGAUCUUUAAGAAGAAAGUGGUAUCAAAAUAUAACUAACCUUCAUUAAAAAAAAAAAGGGGGGGGGGAAAUAACUUUCGUGACACCUUUUAAAUAGCUGGAAGUGAGGUAAAUUGAGAAAUAAAAACUAACCUGCUUCGUUGGUUUAAAUUAAUAAUUCUUUUAAAUCGAACUGUAUGCAAGUUUUGCUGGAAAAAAGACAACAUAAUAAAUGGAAAUUUUAAAAUACUUAAAUUUCCGAAUUUAAAAAGAUCGUCAUAGUCAGGUGUAACCACAGAAAUCUAAUUAAUUUUUAUACUUCUUGAAAUAAGGUGGUUCUAAACGGAAAAUAUUUUUUAUUUCAUAUUCAAAAGCUGAUUUUCGUAAAUCUAUUAAUAAAGGGCUUUAAAAGAAAUGAAGAAAAAAUUGUAGAUAAACUUUGUUUUAUGAAGAGUUAAAAUAUUCGUGACUACAAGGCUUAUUAUCAGUUAUAACAUAUAUACUGGAAAAUUUUAAAUAGUGAUCGAAAUAAAAAAUCUAACGAUUUGACAACACCUCAAACUGAAUAAUUUCCGACACAAUAGAGCGUAUACAUUCUGUAAUCACAUCCCUUCAUAUUUAUUUUUAGAAUUGUUGUCAUAAAUGAAUUGAAAAAAAAUAUUAACGGUCACAAAUUAUUUCCAAUAUAAUUUUGUUCUUCGUAAGCAAAGGAAAAAUGCAGGGGUGAUUGUGAGCCCAAGUCAAAAUUCCGGAAAAUUUCUUGAGUUAAAAAAA